Molecule: microRNA precursor, 95 nt
Organism: Ictidomys tridecemlineatus (thirteen-lined ground squirrel)
Lineage: Eukaryota; Metazoa; Chordata; Mammalia; Rodentia; Sciuridae
Source: Ensembl
UAAACCAAGUUGCAGUUUAUGUAAACAUCCUACACUCAGCUGUAAUAUAUGGAUUGGCUGGGAGGUGGAUGUUUACUUCAGCUGACUUGGAAUAU